AUAUUUUUGUUUCAGCAUAAACAUAAGUUUUUAAAGUAUAAUCUUUUUAUUAUAAUCAAAAAUUUCAUAGUUUUUAAGAGUUCCAUUUUAUCUGUCUCCUGCAGAAGUACAGGACGGACAAAGAUUCUAAUGUUUAGUGUUACGUGGCCCUUUCUUACUGGAGACAACAAUCCACUGAAUCCGGAUGUCAAACAAGGCUCGUAGUGAGGAUGAAGUGUCUGAUGAGAAAGCGUGGCUUGAAUCUGAAAGGGUGUGGCUGAUUCACAGGGGCGGGUUCACCGCUGGUAGACAGGUGAAGGAGAGUGAUUCCGGUGAACCCAUGGGUCAGGGUCAGGUCAUGGUUAGGCUGGACUGUAACGAUGAAGUUAUCCAGGUUGAAGAGGAUGAUGUAUAACGAGCCAAUCCUCCGACCUUCCACAGGGUUGAAGAUCUUGCAUUUCUCAGGUACGGGAACAACUUGAUCUACACGUAUGCUGGUCCUAGUCUAGUUUCCAUCAACCCCUACAAACCUUCCUAUCUACUCCAGCAAGAU
This 532-nucleotide long non-coding RNA is filed under the name Eurytemora carolleeae. RNAcentral describes it as "uncharacterized LOC111705315". Lineage: Eukaryota; Metazoa; Arthropoda; Copepoda; Calanoida; Temoridae. The record is from RNAcentral.